Maniola jurtina (meadow brown) is the source of this 496-nucleotide long non-coding RNA. RefSeq lists it as uncharacterized. The record is from RefSeq and is a predicted model, not a curated record. The transcript is spliced from 2 exons. Lineage: Eukaryota; Metazoa; Arthropoda; Insecta; Lepidoptera; Nymphalidae.
AAUGAAAUCCAAACCAAAUGAAGUCACGGAUUCGAUCACAGCACUUACUGCUAAUUUUUCAAAUAAGGAUGUUUGGUGAUUCUGUCCUUCAUGCUUCGCCCUGUGGUGGACUGUACAUAGUUGAUGGUACUGUUAAUAUUCCACCUAAGAUGAAUAGUGAAAAUAUUGCGUACGAGGUGCACCCUGACUGUCUGAGCAAGUAUCAGCUCUGGCAUUAACGGUUAGGACACUUAUGUCGCAUAGGCAUGAAUCAAUUGAAGAAUCAUCAGGUAGGAGUAGAUUUUAGUUAGUUUUUUAUUUUUUUGUUGCUGUGUGUUGAUAUGUUAUGAUAAGUUUUUUUUUGUAAGACAAUUUAGUUUAAAGGGGGAUGUUGGAACUGGCUGUAAACUAAAUUGUUUAUAUUUAAACUUAUUCUUAUUUUUAUUCUUUUUCUAAAAUCUUUUUGUUUUACGUUCGAUGAUUUUUAACUUACUUCAAAUAUAUAUCUCAAACAGGA